Molecule: non-coding RNA, 9042 nt
Organism: Oryctolagus cuniculus (rabbit)
Lineage: Eukaryota; Metazoa; Chordata; Mammalia; Lagomorpha; Leporidae
Source: RefSeq, a predicted model, not a curated record
UUACUUUGGAUUUCCUUUGUCGUUUUACUGGGAGAUUUUCUGCCUUUACAUUCUUUCAUAAUGAUGACUAUCCUUCUGUGUUUCUGUGUGUAGCACGUCCUUAAGCAUCAUUUGUAAGGCAGGACAAGUGCUGACAAAUUCUUUCAAUUUCUGUUUGUUAUGAAAGCUCUGUAUUUCACCUUCAUUCAUAAUACUUAACAUGUGGAAUUUUCCUAGAGAUAAAAUCACCUAGUAUGUAUUUUAACUGCUGUUUUAAGUGUUAGCAGUGUAUAAUGAACACCUUUCCAUGUUAAAAGCUAAGUUUCUCCCAUGAAUGCAUGACAUUGUCUUGUAAAUAUAGAGCUGCUGCAUUUUUUUUGUUAGCUUGUUUCCAGGCCAGGUAUCUGUUUUUGGAGCCCCACUACCACCACCACCAUGGAAGACUACAUCUUUAUGUUAAUAUUUGUUGUCUCAAAAAAUCAUAGGCACUUAACUGUUACCUCUGAUAUAUUUUUAUGUGUUAAAUUUAUAUACCUUCCCACUUCUCAGGUUAAUCAUUUCCCUCUUUCAGAUGAUUUCUUCUAGCUAGUUGUCAUAUCUAAGCCUUGGUCAAGAUUGCAAAAUGUGGCUGGCGCCAUGGCUCACUAGGCUAAUCCUCCGCCUUGCGGCGCCCGCACACUGGGUUCUAGUCCCAGUUGGGGCGCCGGAUUCUGUCCCGGUUGUCCCUCUUCCAGGCCAGCUCUCUGCUGUGGCCAGGGAGUGUAGUGGAGGAUGGCCCAAGUGCUUGGGCCCUGCACCCCAUGGGAGACCAGGAUAAGUACUUGGCUCCUGCCAUCGGAUCUGCGCGGUGCGCCGGCCGUAGCGGCCAUUGGAGGGUGAACCAAUGGCAAAAGGAAGACCUUUAUCUCUGUCUCUCUCUCUCACUGUCCACUCUGCCUGUCAAAAAAUAAAAAAGAUUGCAAAAUGUAUUAAUAGUACCUUUUUAUUGCUGAUGUUUGUAUCUAAUCGGAACUUAAAUUACAUUUACUUCUGCUUAAAUUAUGGAGAAAAUAAAUUAGUUUUAAUUUAAGGAAACCAGAUAAGAAACAUUUUUUGACUAGUAAAACCUAUUUUUCUCAGAGAAUUUUGUUGUUACUUUAUAUAAAUAAAACACCAGUUCAAUGUAUCAAAAUUUACUUGAGAAAAAGGUUCUAGAACAUGGAUGCAUUCCAGACUGAAGAUGGUUCGGAAUACCCCAUUGCACCAAAUGUACAGGAAAUGUUUAUAGCCAGAGAAUAGCAAGUGACAUACAAGAGUAACCUGAUUAGCUACAGUUGGCAUUUCCAAUAUAUAUAGGGAUGCUGUGAUCAGUUGGCAGCCCAUGAUUGGCUCAAACCCAACGGCUUUGAUUGGCUAAGACUCAGAGACUUGAUUAUAAGGGCUUACUUUUAGUUACAGUUUGCUUACACAUCCAACUAGGGUGCAGUUCCCUGUAACCAGAGGCUUCCUUGGGCCAAAAUUAUCAGUGAACUACAGAAGCAGGUCUAGGAAAAAUUAUUUACAGUUAAACAUAUGAUUUGGAAAAAUGUUCAGUUUUAUCUUUUUGUCCAGUAACUUCAAAAUGGAUAAUGAUGUAUCCCAGAAAUGUCAUGUCUAUCGUAAUAAAACCAUCAGGACUAGCAUAUAUUUAUAGGCUGUAAAAUUUUCCUUUGAUGUCCAUAUUCUUCAUGUUUACACAUACAUUGCUUUUAUAAUUUUUAUAUACAUUUUGAAAAGCUUUUUACCCAUAUAGCUCAUUUUUGUUCCUAUUACACACAGUUUGUUGAGUGUUUUUGCUUUAAUCACUGGGCCAGAAGUGGUGGGAAUUAGAAAAAUAGUCCAUUACGGUGGGAGCUUAAAAUCUAGGUUUGUGAAAAGUUAAAUAACAGUACUGGAGCCAAUACUCAUGUAAGACUGAGGCGACAGGACAAUCUACAAAUUGCUUUAGGAAUUGUACAAAAAUGCUUUUUAUGGAUGUUAGCAGAACACUGUGAGUCAGCAUGAUUGAGAACAGCAGAACCGAAACUAGUGUCUGCUAAUACUAACUGAUAGAAUUAAAAAGGAGAGAACGAUCCAACAUAGGAAGCGGGAUACACAUCAGACUCAUAGAAUGGCAGAUGUACUAAACAGCACUCUGGCUUCAGAAUCAGCCCUUAAGGCAUUCGGAUCCGGCUAAAAAGCCCAUGAGAGUAUUUCAGGCAUGGAAAGCCAAGACACUGUGGCAAAAAACAAAAACAAAAACAAACCCUAAAUGAAAGAUCUCUGCGAGUGAGAUCCCAGUGGAAAGAAGGGGCCAUCAAAGAAGGGGGUACCUUUUUCUGAAGGGAGGAGAGAACUUCCACUUUGACCAUGACCUUGUCUAGAUAAGAUCAGAGUCGGUGAACUCAAGAGGCUUCCAUAGCCUUGGCAACUCAUCACAAGAGCCUAGAGUGAUUAAUGACACCAUAAGUAAGAGUGCCAAUUGUUAAAUCAACAACAGGAGUCACUUUGCACUUACUCCCCAUGUAGGAUCUCUGUUCUUAAUGUGUUGUACUAUGCAAAUCAAUGAUAUAACUAGUAAUCAAACAGUACUUUAUACUUUGUGUUUCUGUGUGGGGGCAAACUGUUGAAAUCUUUACUUAAUAUAUACUAAAUUGAUCUUCUGUAUAUAAAGAUAAUUGAAAAUGAAAAAAAAAAAGAAAGAACUGGGGACAGGAAAGAAGAGGAAGCAUUUCAGAGAGUAUGGGUUUGAAACCCAACACAGAGGUAGGAAACGCCAACAGAGCAAUUUCUUCAGGCAGGUGCUAUGACUCAGUGAAUCAAGUCAAGCAAUUUGAAUAGAAGAAAGAGGAUGGGAAGGAAGUGUGUCCAAGGCUCGUCUACAUUCAUGUGGAACACUCCUUAUGCUGGGGAAGGGCUGCUCACCUGGACCCCUGCGUGAGGAGGCCACCGUCAUUUCUACUGCCUUGGCUGUGCCCAGCCCCUACUCAGCCCCUCAGCUGAAUGGAUUUCCAUGAGUUAGCUCUGAAAUACCACCUCAAGGAUCCUUUAGCCAAUAUACAGGAUGUGAAAAAGAAAACAUCCGUAUGGUUGCAGGCCACUACAUUUUGGAGUGGUUACUCACUCUACGAGUAACUAGUUAAGACUAAGCCCAAUUUGGAUUUCAACAUUUCUAGGCAAGUGUGGGAAACUGCUGGCAUAUGCCUGACAGGAGGCCCUUGGAAAACCACUUCUGGAUUGCACGGAAGUGAGACGAGGUAGUAUUGGUCACGGAGGAACAAAGCAGAAGGGAAAUCCAGGAAGAACAAUGGAAACAGGCUGUCUGCCUCAGAGCUGACUCACGACAGGCUCCUGGGGACAGAGAGGCAACUUGGAGACACAGAGGGCACUUGGGAGCACAGCUUGUCCUGGGGUGUCGGGGAAGGGCAGACAUUGCCUGCUUUGUGAGAAACGGAGCACAGCCACUCUGCCUGAGCCCGUGGCUGCUGACCAUGCUGUGAAGGGCCAGGGGGUGACUGGGUGCCGAGGAUGCCUUUGCUUUGGGCAGGUGGCUUUGAUGGGUGGUGUAGGGGCUUCAGCUGUCCUCCCCUGAGUGGAGGAGGAUGGGGAACUUAAACUGCAUUAGCUCUGCGUGCUGCCUCCCUCUCCUGGGACAGGUUAGGUCUGAGGUUGUAGGUGGGUAAUGGAAUGUACAAUGCAAAUAUUACUGCUAGAUAAUCUAAAUGAACCAGAGGGGUGAGUCUUAGAACAGUUCAGGUCAAAUCAUUACACUUGUGUUUAUAUACAGACAUAGAUUCAUUCAGAUAGAUACAUGUUUAAUGACAUCUGUGUCUAUAUAUAAUAUAAUUAAGUUUUUGUAGUAUCAAGUUUCCUCCUCAUACAUUGUACCCUUGAAAUGGUCUCUUGACCUCUGUAUAGAGUAUAAAGGACAAUAUUAUUUUCUCUGAGUUGAGCAGUAAAGUCAUCUUAAGAGUUUAAGGGAUCUUCCUAAUACUCCAGAAUCAAAGUGACAGAACCAGGAUUUGAACUGAACUUUCCUAAUUCCAGAAAUCAGUACAGAAUCAGUGCUCAUAGGCUACAUUGGAUGUAUUUAUAGGAUAUUAAAGAGCUGGCUUUGGAAUUUCUUAUCUGUAUGCAUAUCAAUAUGGUCAACCAUCUUUAUCCUAGGAGUCAACAUUCCAUGGAUCCAAACCUUCCAUAGGUUUGAAAAAAUAAACUACAUCUGUACUGAACAUGUAAGACUUUUUUCCUGGUCAUUUUUCCCUGAACAAAAUGGAGUAACAAUUAUUUCAAAAGCAUUUGCAUUGUGUUAGAUAUUACAAGUAUUAUCUAGAUGAUUUGGAGUAUACUGGGAGAAUGUGGAAAGCUUAUACACAGACUACUAUGCAAUUUAAACAUUUAUUUAUGUUUAUUUGAAAGGCAGAGAGAGAAAUCUUCCAUCUGCUAAUCCACUUCCCAAAAAAACAAAACAACCAGAGAUGGGGCAAGGCCAAAGCCAGGAGCCCAGAACUCAUUUGGGGUUUUCCAUGUGGGUGGUAGAGUCCCGAGGCGUUGAGCCAUCACCUGCUGCAUCCCAGGGCACACAUUAGCAGGAAGCUGGAAUUGAAAGCGGAAUUGAGAUUUGAACCCAGGCACUCUUGAUGUGGGAUGAGGGGUCCCAAGUGACAUCUUACCUGAUGUACCAAGUGCCUGCCCAACAGUGCCACCUUACAUUAGGAAUUGAACUUCUGUGGAUUGCAGUAUCUGUGAGUCCUGAAAAUACUCCCCCACGGAUGUCAAAGAACAUCUGUGUAGAUGUUCCUUCACUUAAGUGGGAUUGUUGGGAUGAACUCCCCCAAGGGGGAAAGACUGUAAGUCAGAGUGGGCUCAGUACACCUCACCUAGAACACGAUAGCUUCGCGACAGAGUACACUGUUGAGUAGCAUUUAUUUCCCCUUGUAAUCGCUUGCUUGACUGUGAGGUGUGGUUCCCUGGUACUUCUCGAUAUAAAGAGAGAGUAACGUGUAUUAUGAGCUAGGAAAAAGUUCAAGAUCCCCUAUUACAUUUCUGCAGAAUAUGUGUUCCUAAUGUACCAUCAUAAAGACAAAAAAUCAUGAGCAGAAGCAUUGUGAGUCAGGAACUAUCGACACACAAUUAAUGCAUUCCUGUACGUAUUUGAGCUCUGAAACAAUUUUUCCAUGUUAUCACAGGCUCAAAGGGAAAUGUAAAAGCAAAAUAUUGUUGAUAUAAAUGACUACCUUAUGUAAAUGAUGCCUGCUUCCCAUAGAACCUCCAGUCAUACAGAUAAUCUACACCUCCACGAAAGCAAAGAGAGGGCAGAGUGUGAAGAACAUCAUCAAAACUGCCCAGUUGCCAAACUCGCUUGUUAAUAGUCUCACAUGGUUUCACGGUGUGAAGUGUCUCGUUUUCAGUGUGCUGUGACUGACCCUUGGAGCAGGAGCUCUCUGGAAACAUUCUUGAUGUCUUGCUCGUCCUUGAACUCUCAGCACCUACAACAGGGCUUACAGAAAAAGCGAAUGCAUUGAAUCAGGUCAGCUAUCUUUGCGAGACUUUUAAAAUUUGAUUUCUGGAAGUUGAAAGCAAGACUCAUUGCUGGAAAGAAAUUCCCAGCCGUGGAUUUUAGCCAUAUUUGCUGAUCUUGUCUGACAGCUCUCUCUGCCUUCUUCACAAGGUGCCUUCAGCCGAGGACCGAUUCACUCCUCCGUAAUUGUUUAUACCUAACACUGUGUCUAUUGGAGGAAGCUUCAGUCAAAAUAAUGAUGAUGACGACGACGAUGACAGCAAAAUAAAGACAACCCAAAAACCUGUCCUGUGGGUAAUAUCAAAUCUAUGCAGAAAGCGUUCAGCUUUGAUGGUAUAAUUCAUCUCUUCCCUGAGAAGUUCAACUGGUUACGACAGUGGGGAAGAAACUCAGAGGAGUGAUAAAGCUGCAUUAUAGCAGGAAAACAAUGCCAUUUUAUCCUGUUCUCUGUGAACUUCAAAUAUGUUGCUCGAUACAAGGUACAGACCUUGGUUCCUACUCUGUCUCUCUCGCUCCCUCUCCCUCUGUCUGCUUCACUGUUGUUUUAUGUUUGUGUGUCUAUUCUGAAUAUCUGAAGAACUUGAAAAUUUGAGAGGAUUCUAGCAAGAUUCUCAAGAGAAAAUGAACAGCAAAGGUGACUGGGAAAUUAUUUUUUAGAAUUAUUAUUUAGAAAUUAUUUUUUUUCAGGAGCUGGUGUUGUGGCGUAGUAGGUUGAGCAUCCGCCAACAGCACCGGUAUCCCAUAUAGGAGCGAGUUAGAGUCCUGGCUUCUCCACUUCCGACCCAGCUCCCUGCUGCUGGCUUGGGAAAGGAGUAGGGGAUGGCCCAAGGGCUUGGGGUCCUGCAUGCAGGUGGGAGACCCAGAAGAAGCUCCUGGCUUUGGAUCGGCAGAGCUCCAGCCAUUGCGGCCUUUUGGGGAGUGAACCAGCGGGUGGAAGAUCUCUGUUCCUUUGUAACUCUGCCUCUCAAGUAAGUAAAAAAAAAAAUCUUUAAAAAAUUUUGGUUACAAAGUAAUUCUUAUUUCCUUAAUUUGUGAAUGAGUGUACCUCCAUCUUGGCUGCGCAUCAGAUUCACAUGGGAGUCUGUUGAACAAACCUGGUGCCUGGGCCCUCCCUCACUGUUCUGAUACAGGGUCUCCAGUGUGCAUCCAUGGUUGGCGCCCCCUCACACUGGGGGUACUUCAAAAUGCUCACAGGAAGUGGAGUUAAAGGGAACUAUUUUGCUGUAAAAAUCUUUGGAAGGGCUGGCACCGUGGCAUAGGAGGUUAGGCCUCAGCCUGCAGUGCUGACAUCCAAUGUAGGCACUGGUUUGAGUCCUGGCUGCUCCACUUUGGAUCCAGUCCCCUGUUGCUGUGCCUAGAAAAGCAGCAACAGACGGCCCAAGUGUCUGGGCCCUUGCAGCUAUGUGAAAGACCGAGAAAGAUCUCCUGGCUGUGGCCUGGUCCAGCCCACCCCACCCACCGACUACGGCCAUUUGGGGAGUGAAGCAGCAGAACGAAGAUUCUCUCUGUAAUUCUGACUUUCAAAUAAAUCUUAAUCUGUGUGUAUUAGGAGUCUUCCCAGAGUUCCUAGAAAAUGCAUAUGAUGAAAAAAAUGUAUUUCAUGAUAUUUUGCACUGGUAUAAAUUUUCUUACUCUGUUUUUCCAUCAAUACUGUGAAAUACCCUUUUGUGUUGGUAGUUGAGGGAAAAGUGCAUCUCAGAAAGUUACCUGCACACACAGAUCCCUCCCACUAGGACUCGCUCGGGUGCCUGUCACAGACCUGGGACUGUGCACUUCCACAAGUCAUAGCACAUCUUGCAUUAUUGCACUUUUUUUUUACUAGACUAGAAGCACUAUGAAGGCAAGGACAAAGCUGUAAUUUUCAGUUAUCUUCAACGAACCCAGUGCCAACCUCUCAAUACUUACUGUUGCACAAUUCUGCAACGGCUUUUUUCCUUCAAGGGAGUCAGGGAGGGUAAAGAUGGGGAGAAGCAAGAGGAAUGGGUGUGGCAGCAGCAGUAGGAGAAGGGGUGAGGGCAGCGAACCCUGCAGUGCCUGCCUUAGAAAAAGAAAGACAGGGGUAUGCAUAAGUUACUCAUGUACUGCACCGGGAAUUAUGUUUUAUAUUCAGCAGCAUGAACCCCACCGAGUCUCUCAAGAUUUCUUGAGUUGGUGUCUGUGUGUGUAGAGAGUCAAGACAGAAUGAAGUGAGUGAAUUUUUUGUUACCUACCUGGGUGCCUCUCGAUACGCUGAUUUAGAGCCUUCAUUAAAUCUGCUCCACUUGGCACAGGAGUCACCUGUGCCAAGUCAGCUAUUGCACCUGUGUGCAAGUCAGCUAUUGACUCCACCUCCUCCAGGGAUCGCAUUUUCAAUGUCUCAGUUUACCCAUUUAUAACACAGUAAUCUCUGCAGCAAAGCUGUGCACUCGCGUUCACUGUUGGCAUGAUACCCGCAGAACUUUUGACAGGUUCAUUUGAAAAAUGAAUAACAUUUUCCUGAUUUGAUUGCAAUUUAGCAUAUACACACUUCAUACUUCAAUUAUAUUAAUCAAAAUGAAGAUUUUCACAUGACAGCUUUAAGCCAACAGUCUCAGUAUUUGAACCUAUUUGAACCUCUUCAUUAGAACAUGGAGUUGGAUGACUUGAUAGUUGUUAAAAUAAGACUAGAAAAUUCUGGUUUAGAGAUUUGGGGGAGGAUUUCAUUGCAGCUUUCUCUGCAAAUGUAAGUCUAUUUCUAGGUUGUCCAUGGAUAAGAAUGAUUCUCCUGCUCCCUUUUGUCACCCGUGCCCUGUGGCACGCGGCUUUGUGUUACUUCUAUGUGCCUGCAUUUUGUUGAUGAACGCAGGCCAGUUCCUGACUUGAAUCAAAAGAGCAAGUUCUUCCAGACUGGUCUUUUCCCCUUAGUUGCUCCUGCACCUGCCCCUGUAAAAUCUGGGCACUUCCCCCCUGUGCGGGCUCCUCCUUAGGUGACACAGUUCUUAGCUACAGUGCGUGUUCUAUCUCCAAGAAACGGCCACAGCCUCUGUGUGCUGCAUCUGGCCUUCUCCCUCCGGAAUCAUCUUCCAGAUACCCCAGAAGUGAUCUCUGAUGCAAACUAUAAGAAUGCACUACAGACCACAGUUUCCAGGAAGCUCCAGACAUCCAUUAGGUAAACAGUGGUUUCUGAGCUGAAGGCACUGUACAAUCCCACCCUUUUGUGCUUAUACUCCGGACAGUCAGUAGGUCCAUCCUCUAAUCAUCUGUCAGCCAAGGUACCCUUCCACUCAGACCGAAGUGCCUGGGGUUCACACACAGCCGCCAAGUCAGUGUCGCUACGCUCAUUCCCACUGUCUGGGCGACCCUUUCCCUCCUUCCUUGACUUCCGCAUUCUGGACAGCUUUCUCUGUUUACCACUCCCAGAGCCGCAGCAGGUGAUGCCAGGCAGGCAGCUCUGGACACGCAGGUGCAUGCCAUUGGCGGUGCUGACCCCAUCGUAGUGAAGGCAACUGGGGAUCUGUCUGUCUCCGCCAUGAGAGUGCCCAUUACUUUAGGACCUGGACCCUGGUUCUGCCCCUCUCUAUGUCCCC